This is a non-coding RNA of Alligator mississippiensis (American alligator), 47 nucleotides long. The record is from Rfam. Lineage: Eukaryota; Metazoa; Chordata; Crocodylia; Alligatoridae.
CAAGUGGCUCCUCUGGGAGCCACUCUACUUAAAGUGUCUCUAUGUCU